GAAAACGAAAUAGAUGCAUUUGCGUUUGACCUGAUCUAACCUCGUAUAAAGAAUGCCGUGUCGCAUCGCAUAAGUGACAUUGCCUCUGACAUCUGGCCCAUAGUGCCAAAAGGAUUAAUCGUCUCGAGGUUCCUCGAGGAUAAAGAUCGUGCCUCGCGAUUUUGGAAACUGGGUGCAGGUCAGCGGAUAUUCAAGAGAAGCACGGCAAAGAGAUCUGACAACGA
Molecule: long non-coding RNA, 224 nt
Filed under: Apis florea (little honeybee)
Lineage: Eukaryota; Metazoa; Arthropoda; Insecta; Hymenoptera; Apidae
Description: uncharacterized LOC116414308, transcript variant X1
Source: RNAcentral